GACGAACGCUGGCGGCGUGCUUAACACAUGCAAGUCGAACGGAAAGGCCCUGCUUGCAGGGUACUCGAGUGGCGAACGGGUGAGUAACACGUGGGUGAUCUGCCCUGCACUUCGGGAUAAGCCUGGGAAACUGGGUCUAAUACCGGAUAGGAGCCAUUUUUAGUGUGAUGGUUGGAAAGUUUUUUCGGUGUAGGAUGAGCUCGCGGCCUAUCAGCUUGUUGGUGGGGUAAUGGCCUACCAAGGCGGCGACGGGUAGCCGGCCUGAGAGGGUGGACGGCCACAUUGGGACUGAGAUACGGCCCAGACUCCUACGGGAGGCAGCAGUGGGGAAUAUUGCACAAUGGGCGCAAGCCUGAUGCAGCGACGCCGCGUGGGGGAUGACGGCCUUCGGGUUGUAAACUGCUUUCGCUAGGGACGAAGCUUUUUGUGACGGUACCUAGAUAAGAAGCACCGGCUAACUACGU
Molecule: ribosomal RNA, 464 nt
Filed under: uncultured bacterium
Lineage: Bacteria
Description: partial 16S ribosomal RNA
Rfam family: Bacterial small subunit ribosomal RNA
Source: RNAcentral